Molecule: long non-coding RNA, 221 nt
Filed under: Chloebia gouldiae (Gouldian finch)
Lineage: Eukaryota; Metazoa; Chordata; Aves; Passeriformes; Passeridae
Description: Erythrura gouldiae (Gouldian finch) lncRNA (ENSEGOG00005008899.1)
Source: RNAcentral
UUAUGGAUAGAAGGGCUGAAUUUACUGAAUUGCAAAGAACCCUUGGCUUCAUACAGAGAGAGUGACAGGAGCAGCCUGGAAUGAGGAAGAGACUACAGGGAGGAUCUGGUCUGACAAUGAAGCUGACAUAGCAAAGACCCAGGGAACAGUGUGGAAAUGUCAUAGUUUCAGCUGCAGCAACAAUGUAUGAAGAGGAAACACUAUAAAGAGGAACAAAGAGG